UACGUAGGGUGCAAGCGUUAUCCGGAAUUAUUGGGCGUAAAGAGCUCGUAGGCGGUUUGUCGCGUCUGCUGUGAAAACCCGAGGCUCAACCUCGGGCCUGCAGUGGGUACGGGCAGACUAGAGUGCGGUAGGGGAGAUUGGAAUUCCUGGUGUAGCGGUGGAAUGCGCAGAUAUCAGGAGGAACACCGAUGGCGAAGGCAGAUCUUUGGGCCGUAACUGACGCUGAGGAGCGAAAGCGUGGGGAGCGAACAGG
This 253-nucleotide ribosomal RNA is filed under the name uncultured bacterium. RNAcentral's name for it is "partial 16S ribosomal RNA". It matches the Rfam family "Bacterial small subunit ribosomal RNA", at positions 524 to 776 of the family's 1533-position model. The record is from RNAcentral.